RNAcentral lists this ribosomal RNA (329 nucleotides) under uncultured eukaryote. RNAcentral describes it as "partial 18S ribosomal RNA". It matches the Rfam family "Eukaryotic small subunit ribosomal RNA", at positions 1470 to 1796 of the family's 1831-position model. The record is from RNAcentral.
CCCUUAGAUGUUCUGGGCCGCACGCGUGCUACACUGUUUGAUUCAGCGAGUCUUAACCUUGACCGAAAGGUUUGGGUAAUCUUCUAAAGUCAAACGUGAUGGGGAUCGAUCAUUGCAAUUAUUGAUCGUGAACGAGGAAUUCCUAGUAAAUGCAAGUCAUCAGCUUGCGUUGAUUACGUCCCUGCCCUUUGUACACACCGCCCGUCGCUACUACCGAUUGAAUGGUUUAGUGAGAUCUCCGGAUUGGCUCUGUAGGUCCCGCAAGGGAUUUAUUAGUAGCCAAGAAGCUGCUCAAACUUGAUCAUUUAGAGGAAGUAAAAGUCGUAACA